GAUUUGCAAAAGUUUGGAUGUGCACUGCUCGCCAAGCCAGACGCAUGCCCACUCAGGCCCUGGGGCAUCACCACUUUCUGUGGGAUCAGCACCCAGAGAGCGGCGGCAGCCCCUACCGCGGCCGGGCCUGCUAGCAGGGCUCGCGCGCGCCCCACAGCCAGCCCCAGCGGCCGCGCCGCCCAGUCAAGGGGCGCAGGGGCCGCCUCCAGGGUCCCCGGGCAGGCCCGCCGCGCGCAGGGAAGGAGGACCCGCUUCCUAAUCCCACACUGGGGCGGGCCGCUGCGGUUGCUGAGCGCGCCCUCCCCCACCCCCGGCUCGCGGGCGGGACGCCGUGGCUGAGGCUGCCGGUCGCCGCGGAGGCUGCCCCGCGCCCUCAUCGCCCGCCCCGGGAUCAGUGCGUUGUGAGCUGAACGAAGGCAGAAAUUGUUUCGACUAGUUCACUGUUGAAUUACCAGACAUGGCAGAGGGAUGCAGGAACAGUGUAGCUGUGGGCAGCGGUGAAGCAAGUCAUGUUUGUAGUUAUGCUGCUGACGUCACUAGGAAGAAUGCAAGGAAAGCUGGACAUUCUCUGGAAUGUUGGGAACAUGGCUCCUUGGAGGUGCCACAGUUACACUCGACCUACUGCAAUCAGUUCCUCCCCAGCAUCCCGGCCUGCCUCUCAUCUCUCUCUGAAACUCACUCGCACACCGAUGCCUGGGGCUUGUGAUUUCCCUCGCCCACCCUGAACGGAUGGAUGCGAUUAGGCAAAUAUGGCGGGGGACAAAGUGGCUGGAGGUGAGGACAGUCUCCCUCUUGUGCUUUCUCUUGAGACAGGACUUGUUCUGGGGUGCAAGUUUCCUUGACGCACUCAUGAAGACCUGCCAUCAUGAAGCGGAAGGAAUCUAGCUCUGCACUGGACAGAGCUGACUUUUACCCCUGGCUUGAGACCGGAUCACACAUGGUUAGUGCUCAAGAUGUGGUAGCCAUUUAAGUAUUGGGUGCUCACCGGGUAUGCGCAGAGGAGUCCGUGCCUCCUGCGUCAGUGACAUCACACUGGGUGGAAAUGGCUUGUUCACUUCCCUCUUUCCUCUACUAGACUGUAACAUCCUUGUAGGCCUAGGGAAAUGGUUUCCAGGUCCCAUGAUAAGCUCACAUUGGUUGAGUGCCUGAGGUCAAGCACUAAAUGCUUUACAUGGAUUACUUCAUUUAAUUUUCAAAACCCCGUGGAGUUACAAACUACUGUUUUCUGCAUUUAUAGCUGAAGAUACGGAGCCGCCAAAAGCUUCCGUAACUCUCCCAAUGUGAUGUAUCUAGUUAAGUGGUGGAGAGAGUGUUUAAAUACAGCUGGUCAGGUUCCGGAAGCUGUGCGCUUUACUGCUGUACACACGGCCUCAGUGCUCACUCUCAGUAGAUUUUCCUCAUUUUUCUCCAGCUACACUCAUUAUCACCGUGGAACAUGUCAUCCCCAUUGUCUCCGCCUGUGUUUGUGGAGCUCUGUUUACUCUGUGAUUCUCACUGUGCCAGCCGCACACAAUGCCUCAUGUAAUCACAUGCUUUACAGUUGCUUCUCCAUUUGUCUAGCACUGGCUUUCGCAUAGUAGGUUUCUGUACCAAUUAUGCUCUCUCACAAAACAUCUCUUGGUUCCAUUGUCAGACCGGACUCUAGACGGAGUGGAUCACUGGGCAGACCCUUUUAUGUUUUUGUGUUCUUAAUGACAACCAUCUGUUUCCUAAAGCAAUUGAAAUCUUCAGUUAUUAGCGUAAAGGAAGCAUGUGGACUCUAGGCACAGGCCUCACACCGCUGUUACAUGCCUGGGGAAUCAGCUACCACUGAAGUUAGGCCUGGCUACCUUUCUCAGACUCUGGGUGAAACCGGGGUUCCUUUCAAGAUGAGAUGCACAGGCCCCGUAUGUUAAAAAAAAAACAAAACAAAAACAUGUAAACUGUACAUACAAAAGGGUAUUCAAUAUCUUUGGUGUUAAAUAGAAUGAAUACUUACGUAUAGCCAUCGCCCCAUUCAACAGAAUAUUAUCAGGUUCUACCGAGUCCUCCAUGUGCCCCCUCCCCAGUUGCAACCCUCUCCCAACACCCCCAACAUGCUUUUCAUUAUACAAAGAGUAUGAGUUGUUUGAGAGCACUAUGUUUCGGAUGAGUAAGUCCCAGGUACUUUGUUGUGAAAGGUGCUAUAGCAGCAAAUGGGUAUCGGUAUUUGGAGGUUUCACAUCCUAGUCACACUGAUGUUUUCAGUGAGGUGUUUCUAGCUUCACGACCACUGCAGCAUUAACGGUGUGCUGAGAACUGACGUGUCAGCAAAUUGUGGUCAACGUGCACAAUUAAUUUUUGCCACAGUUGCGGACAUGUCCUUUUUUGGCAAUGGCUGUCAAAGAUGAGGCUGAGCACCGCUGCCGAUGGUGAAGAGCAGGAUUCCACCUGCAAGGGGAAGGAGGGUGUAUACCAUCAAGCCGGCAUCCAAGAAAAAUUGUUUGACAACAUGCAAGAACUUUGCUGUGAAACUGUGAGAACGUGUGCGAGAACUUGGUCGUGGCCGCAGAAUGUUCUACCCAAACAGGAAUACUGGGGGAAUGUUAGUGUGCCAACCCCUGAAGAAUUCACUUUACAGGAGAGCCCCAAGUUCCAGUAUUUAAAAAUGUGUCUCGGGAUGCCUGGGUGGCUCAGUGGGUUAAGCGUCCUCCUUCAGCUCAGGUCAUGAUCCCGGAGUCCUGGGAUCGAGCCCUGUGUCAGGCUCCCUGCUCAGCGGGGAGUCUGCUUCUCCCUCUCCCUCUGCUGCUUCCCUGGCCUGGGCUCGCUCUGUCAAAUAAAUAAAUAAAAUCUUAAAGAAAAAGUGUCUCAAACACCAAAAAAGUGACAACCAUUACUCCAGCCAGCAGAUUAUUUCUGAAGUGGUUUUAACGAGUUUUCAUCAUUUAUUCCCUGCCACUAAUGAAUGGACCCUUUGAAAAAACUUCACUGUCUGCUCCUUCCCACCAUUACUGUGAAUUAGAAACACUCAUGUCAGUCCAGGGCUGGAGGAGAUGAAAUGCAAUUCUACUACAGAUUUGGUAAUGUUUGUAUGCAACAGCUGAAAGACCCCAAAAAUUGGACAUAAUUUUCAGUGCUAUUCAGUGUGGGGGAAGAUGAAGUUAAACAACAAAAACAAAAACCAAAACAAAGAAACUUGGAGCUUUAAGGGAAAUUGCUUUCAGGACUUGGGGGAAAAAAAAGACAUGUUUGAGGCCAUGCGGCAGAAACCCUUGGAGAGAUGCCCAGAAAAGUAGUAUUCCCAUCACUCCUCUAUCCAUCUUUUCUAGCCUAAAAAAGGCAUGGCUUCCUAUUCUAGAACUAGAAUGUGUGCUCUUCAUGCUUUUGGGAUUUGCUGAAGACAGUGUGGCUACAACUAAAUGACUUGGAUAUUUUCACCUUUAUAAGAUGCAGUAAGAGUGGCAGCCUAAAUGAUACGUGAGUCACAGGUUAACUUCUAUGCUAAAACAUGUUCUUUAGGAUGAGUUUGUAUCUCAGGAAACAAAUAUGGAAGAUCUUC
This is a long non-coding RNA of Mirounga angustirostris (Northern elephant seal), 3517 nucleotides long. RefSeq lists it as uncharacterized. The transcript has 3 exons. The record is from RefSeq and is a predicted model, not a curated record. NCBI's taxonomy places the organism in Eukaryota, Metazoa, Chordata, Mammalia, Carnivora, Phocidae.